RNAcentral lists this transfer RNA (75 nucleotides) under Thermoprotei archaeon. RNAcentral describes it as "tRNA-Ala". It matches the Rfam family "tRNA". Rfam says of the family: Transfer RNA (tRNA) molecules are approximately 80 nucleotides in length. Their secondary structure includes four short double-helical elements and three loops (D, anti-codon, and T loops). The record is from RNAcentral. Lineage: Archaea; Thermoproteati; Thermoproteota; Thermoprotei. RNAcentral also lists the same sequence under 1 other name.
GGGCCGGUAGCUCAGUGGGAGAGUACCCGCCUCGCACGCGGGGGGUCGCGGGUUCAAAUCCCGCCCGGUCCACCA